CGCACGGGUGAGUAACACGUAUCCAACCUGCCGUCUACUCUUGGCCAGCCUUCUGAAAGGAAGAUUAAUCCAGGAUGGCAUCAUGAGUUCACAUGUCCGCAUGAUUAAAGGUAUUUUCCGGUAGACGAUGGGGAUGCGUUCCAUUAGAUAGUAGGCGGGGUAACGGCCCACCUAGUCAACGAUGGAUAGGGGUUCUGAGAGGAAGGUCCCCCACAUUGGAACUGAGACACGGUCCAA
RNAcentral lists this ribosomal RNA (237 nucleotides) under uncultured bacterium. RNAcentral's name for it is "partial 16S ribosomal RNA". It matches the Rfam family "Bacterial small subunit ribosomal RNA", at positions 99 to 334 of the family's 1533-position model. The record is from RNAcentral.